This 450-nucleotide ribosomal RNA is filed under the name uncultured bacterium. RNAcentral describes it as "bacterial SSU rRNA". It matches the Rfam family "Bacterial small subunit ribosomal RNA", at positions 354 to 796 of the family's 1533-position model. The record is from RNAcentral.
GUGGGGAAUUUUGGACAAUGGGCGCAAGCCUGAUCCAGCAAUGCCGCGUGCAGGAAGAAGGCCUUCGGGUUGUAAACUGCUUUUGUACGGAACGAAACGGUCCGGGUUAAUACCCUGGGCUAAUGACGGUACCGUAAGAAUAAGCACCGGCUAACUACGUGCCAGCAGCCGCGGUAAUACGUAGGGUGCAAGCGUUAAUCGGAAUUACUGGGCGUAAAGCGUGCGCAGGCGGUUUUGUAAGACAGGUGUGAAAUCCCCGGGCUCAACCUGGGAACUGCACUUGUGACUGCAAGGCUAGAGUGUGUCAGAGGGAGGUGGAAUUCCGCGUGUAGCAGUGAAAUGCGUAGAGAUGCGGAGGAACACCGAUGGCGAAGGCAGCCUCCUGGGAUAACACUGACGCUCAGGCACGAAAGCGUGGGGAGCAAACAGGAUUAGAUACCCUUGUAGUCC